UACGGAGGGAGCUAGCGUUGUUCGGAAUUACUGGGCGUAAAGCGCACGUAGGCGGCCAUUCAAGUCAGAGGUGAAAGCCCAGGGCUCAACCUUGGAACUGCCUUUGAAACUAGAUGGCUAGAAUUCUGGAGAGGUCAGUGGAAUUCCGAGUGUAGAGGUGAAAUUCGUAGAUAUUCGGAAGAACACCAGUGGCGAAGGCGACUGACUGGACAGAUAUUGACGCUGAGGUGCGAAAGCGUGGGGAGCAAACAGG
Molecule: ribosomal RNA, 253 nt
Filed under: uncultured bacterium
Lineage: Bacteria
Description: partial 16S ribosomal RNA
Rfam family: Bacterial small subunit ribosomal RNA
Source: RNAcentral